GACGAACGCUGGCGGCGUGCUUAACACAUGCAAGUCGAACGGUGAAGCGCCUUCCUUUUUGGUGGGUGUGGAUGAGUGGCGAACGGGUGAGUAACACGUGACUAACCUGCCCCCUUCUUCUGGAUAACCGCAUGAAAGUGUGGCUAAUACGGGAUAUUCUGGGUCUGUCGCAUGAUGGGUCUGGGAAAGAUAUUGUUUCGGUGGGGGAUGGGCUCGCGGCCUAUCAGCUUGUUGGUGGGGUGAUGGCCUACCAAGGCGGUGACGGGUAGCCGGCCUGAGAGGGUGGACGGUCACACUGGGACUGAGACACGGCCCAGACUCCUACGGGAGGCAGCAGUGGGGAAUAUUGCACAAUGGGCGCAAGCCUGAUGCAGCGACGCCGCGUGAGGGAUGGAGGCCUUCGGGUUGUGAACCUCUUUCGCCAGUGAAGCAGGCCUGCCUCGUUUGUGGGUGGGUUGACGGUAGCUGGAUAAGAAGCGCCGGCUAACUACGUG
RNAcentral lists this ribosomal RNA (494 nucleotides) under uncultured bacterium. Its description in RNAcentral is "partial 16S ribosomal RNA". It matches the Rfam family "Bacterial small subunit ribosomal RNA", at positions 28 to 507 of the family's 1533-position model. The record is from RNAcentral.